GUCCGCGCCCUAAACGAUGGAUACUAGUUGUUGGGAUACCUAAUAGUCUCGGUAACGUCGCUAACGCAUUAAGUAUCCCGCCUGGGGAAUACGAUCGCAAGAUUAAACUCAAAGGAAUUGACGGGGCCCGCACAAGCGGUGGAGCAUGUGGUUCAAUUCGAUGCUACGCGAAGAACCUUACCUGGACUUGACAUCCCGGGCUAUCCUGUGAAAGCAGGAGUUCCCUUCGGGGACCCGUGACAGGUGCUGCAUGGCUGUCGU
This 261-nucleotide ribosomal RNA is filed under the name uncultured bacterium. RNAcentral describes it as "partial 16S ribosomal RNA". It matches the Rfam family "Bacterial small subunit ribosomal RNA", at positions 793 to 1055 of the family's 1533-position model. The record is from RNAcentral.